UCAGACGAUGCGUCAUGCAUAUCAAUAAGCGGAGGAAAAGAAACUAACAAGGAUUCCCUUAGUAACGGCGAGUGAAGCGGGAAGAGCUCAAAUUUGAAAUCUUCAAGGUUUUACCUUGACGAAUUGUAGUUUAAAGAAGUGUUUUCUGUUGAAGUUUUGGUAAAAGUUCUUUGGAAUAGGACAUCAUAGAGGGUGAGAAUCCCGUAUUUGACCAUUAUUUUCAGCUGUGUGAUACACUUUCAAAGAGUCGGAUUGUUUGGGAAUGCAGUCCAAAAUGGGUGGUAAAUUUCAUCUAAAGCUAAAUAUUGGCGAGAGACCGAUAGCGAACAAGUACCGUGAGGGAAAGAUGAAAAGAACUUUGAAAAGAGAGUUAAACAGUACGUGAAAUUGUCAAAAGGGAAGCGUUUGACACCAGUGUUGUUUUCCUCGAAAAUCAAUUAAAAGGAGUUAGAUUUUGUUGUGUAUUGACCUUAACAGCUUGCAUUUCAAUUUUCUUGCUUUUUUAAUGCACUUUUCGUUUAACAAGUCAACAUCAGUUUCUUUUGUUGUAAAAGGGUCAUUGGAAGGUGGCUUUCUUUUCGGAGAAAGUGUUUAUAGCCUUUGACUCCUGCAAUCGGAGAGACUGAGGUCCUGCAGCGUAGAUCCUUCGGGGUUAGAUACAUUUGUGCUAAGUUAUAGCUUUUUAUAGACAACUUGUUGACUAUGAUUAGUCUUGUAGCUUACUCGCUCAUGCUAUUUUACCUACGCUUAGGAUGUUGAGUCGUAGAGCACGCAG
This 775-nucleotide ribosomal RNA is filed under the name uncultured Neocallimastigales. RNAcentral describes it as "partial large subunit ribosomal RNA". It matches the Rfam family "Eukaryotic large subunit ribosomal RNA", at positions 18 to 628 of the family's 3401-position model. Lineage: Eukaryota; Fungi; Neocallimastigomycota; Neocallimastigomycetes; Neocallimastigales. The record is from RNAcentral.